This 701-nucleotide long non-coding RNA is filed under the name Spirodela polyrhiza (greater duckweed). RNAcentral's name for it is "long non-coding RNA (SPOL_LNC000349)". Lineage: Eukaryota; Viridiplantae; Streptophyta; Magnoliopsida; Alismatales; Araceae. The record is from RNAcentral.
GCAGGAGAGGUCCAUGAGGCCGAGGCAGCCGCCGAAUCUCUGUGCGUCGCCGAGGAACGGCCCCCAGGGCCGCAAGAGUCAUCCAGACCAUGCCCCCCCGUAUUCAGUAAGAGGGGAGAAGAGCACGCCAGGUUCCUAUCCCACAACCCUCACUUCGCUGUCUAGCUUAGCCGGAGCUCAUGCAAAUGCUGCGGGGAGCCCGGCCCCGGCCAUCUCAGGAACGACGGAGCACAAUGCCAGCGCGUCAAUGUCCUCUGUUCAUCACCCAUUCGCUGCUUUCCCUCCCUUCGCCCAGUUCGGCCGGGACAGCGGCAGCUCGUACCUCAACAUGUCGUCUGCCUUUUCAAGCCUCAUCGUUUCCACCCUGAUGCAGAAUCCCGCGGUCCAUGCAGCGGCCACCGUGGCAGCCUCCUUCUGGCCGACCGCAGAUGCUGAAGCUUCGACGGGUUCUGCUUCAGAGAGCUUCGUGGGGGGGAUCCCCAUGAGGCAGAUGAACCCUUCUCCGAGCAUGGCCGCAAUCGCCGCCGCUACAGUCGCGGCGGCGUCGGCGUGGUGGGCGACGCACGGGCUCCUGCCAUUUUGCCCUCCUCCGGCUGCUUUCCACGGCGGCUUCGCAUUCGCUCCGGCGCCGACAAGCGCCAUUCCCAGAACCAAGACCGCCUAUGCUGCAAAAGACGACACCCAGAGGAAAGAAGAGGCCA